CCGGAUGCCAGCACUGUCCUCGCUGAGCUUUACCUGUACUGAUUUGCCGGGUAUGGAAUACUUGCUCGAUAUGCCAGGGCUCCAGUACCUUUCCUUCCACCAUAUUUCGGGUUAUCGCAUACCAUUUGACAGCUUCCCAGGAAGACUUGUAAAUCUCAGAAAGCUAGUAUUUGUCCGCUGUUUUGGAGACCAAAGAAAAGUAGAUGAAAUGUGUGCUCUGAUGCCAGAUGUGGAGGUAGAAGGAACGCUGAUGGCGUGGAAAUGAAAAUGUUUUGGUUUUGGAUUCUGAUUUGGUCAGAUGCUUUUCAAGCCAGUAUAUAUGACCCAUCCAACUUCUCUUGAAGUUUAUGAAGUACUUCACACACUACCUCAUUUUGAUGCUACCUGUUACUAACUGCAUGUAAAUCUAAUCUGUAUUAAAAGCAUAUUUUGCCAGAUUCUUGAGGUUUUGUAUGUGGCUUUAUUUUGGCACUCUUACUGUAACUGGAUGAUUAUAAUGAACAACGGGCAUAUCUCAAUACAAGGCAUGUCCCGAAAGUAAGUACCAUUUUGGGGAAAAACUCAUAAAAACCUUUUUAUCAAAACAAAAUUUAUUUUUGCAAGAAAGGACAUUUCUUAAACUAUUUUUCUACAUAGCUUCCACUGUUGUUCAGACAUUUGUCACAGCGGGAAGCCAAAUUUUCUAUGCCCUCUUCAUAGAACGAC
Long non-coding RNA from Schistocerca cancellata (South American locust), 705 nucleotides. RefSeq lists it as uncharacterized. The transcript is spliced from 3 exons. NCBI's taxonomy places the organism in Eukaryota, Metazoa, Arthropoda, Insecta, Orthoptera, Acrididae. The record is from RefSeq and is a predicted model, not a curated record.